UACAUUGACAUUAGCGGAUUUUACUGAGGCAACUUUAAAGUUGAUUGUUUCAUAUAUUUUUGUUUUUUGUCCCAUAUGUAAUUUUAUGUUCUCUGUUUUCUCUAUCGAUUUUAACUAUACCCUUUUAUCCUUUAUAAUGGAGUGACAAACUCAGACAUUGUGUGUUGUCAUCAGCUUCAUCUACCAUACGACCGACGAUAUUGGAGUUAAAUAACAGCACUGCAUUUG
Molecule: unclassified non-coding RNA, 228 nt
Filed under: Hevea brasiliensis (rubber tree)
Lineage: Eukaryota; Viridiplantae; Streptophyta; Magnoliopsida; Malpighiales; Euphorbiaceae
Rfam family: Small nucleolar RNA snoR97 (bases 122-227)
Source: RNAcentral